This 1059-nucleotide ribosomal RNA is filed under the name Triticum aestivum (bread wheat). Its description in RNAcentral is "partial small subunit ribosomal RNA". The record is from RNAcentral. Lineage: Eukaryota; Viridiplantae; Streptophyta; Magnoliopsida; Poales; Poaceae.
AUGCUUGAUCUCAAUGAGUUGCCCCCUGAUCUCAAUGAGCUUCCUCAUGAUAUGGAUCAACAGCAACCCAGCAUACAACAAGGAAAUUGGACAGAAAAUGGUCGAUCUGUUUACUACACGCAGGCAAGUCGUGAUGGUAACCCUACGAGCCAUGACAAUAUGGCAGGCCAGUCAUUAGCCCAUGGUGCCCAUGUAGUGGUGUCUUUGCAGUUAGAGAGCCAUACUCUUGAUGACACGGAAACCGAGGCAAAUGUUUCUGGUCCAACCAGGACUGAGCUAGGAGCUGGGGCUGUUGACAGAGCUGUGCAAGGAGAAGAAGGAGAGGAUGAGGCUGGUUCUCAACCUAUGGAACCCUAUGUUGGCAUGAGGUUUGACAACCUUCAAAUUGCUAAGGAUCACUACAACAGCUAUGCACUACGGAUAGGUUUCUCUAUCAAGAUGAACACCUCUAGGCGGGCACCCCGCACCAAUGAAUUGAUAAAACAACAGUUUUGCUGCAACAAGUUUAAGAAGCCCAAAGCUGAUGAUGGAGGAGCUGAGGCUCCUCCUGUCCUGGACGCUAUUCCAGAUCCAAAAUCUGUUAACAGUGAUGAGGAGAUGGAAGAAGAACCUCCAAUAUUUGCUGAAGAGGAGGCUGGUACUAGUAAGAAGAAGAAGAAGAAGCGCAAAUGCGAGACAAUAAAGCAGACUGAAUGCAAGGCGAAAAUGUUGGUGAAGCUGAUAGAUGGGCGAUGGGAGGUGACACACUUUGUUCCUGACCACAAUCAUCCGCUCGUGAACAAACCUUCAUUGUCCAAAUAUUUGAGAUCCCACCAAGGCAUCUCACCUGAUGAAAAGGAGUUUCUGCGCAUCUUGUAUAACUGCAACUUGACUACAGGACGAAUGAUGCAUGUAAUGGCAGAGUUCUAUGGAUUUGAGAUGAUGGUGCCGUUCGGACCAAAGGCAAUAACAAAUCUUUGUACAAGUUUCCAUAGAGAUGACACAAAGGAGGGUGAUCUGAUUGAGACAAUUGCACACUUUAAGGAUAUACAAAAAACCGAUCCAGACCUUCUUCUAUAA